Molecule: long non-coding RNA, 2821 nt
Organism: Gopherus evgoodei (Goodes thornscrub tortoise)
Lineage: Eukaryota; Metazoa; Chordata; Testudines; Testudinidae
Exons: 2
Source: RefSeq, a predicted model, not a curated record
GAAGCAGUUGCAAUCCCUCUCAGUUUGGUAUCAUCUACAAACUUAAUAAGCAUACUUUCUAUGCCAAUAACUAAGUCGCUUAUGAUACUUAUUUCCUUAACCUCACUAAUGCAUACAUGUGACAAAUGUGAUCAAGAAACUAAUACACAAACUUGACAAAAGUAGCCUUAGCAACUAUCCUACAUAGGCUUAGAGAGUCUCUACUAUGCAGAGAUAAUGGAAUUAAAAUAGGCCAAAAAUAAAUAUAGGGAUAUUACAUGAAGAUGCCUCCCUUAUUAUUUUAAAAUAAAUAUAUAACUUUAGUAACUAUUUCUGGUUAAUUAUGAUGUGCUUGUCUCUCUUUAGUAAUUUUAUUUAACAGCACCAAUUUAAGGUAAAAGUAAAUUUAAUUAAUAUGAAGAAAGUAGUGCUUUGGGGUCUUGAUUACUACUAUUAAUUUAUAUAUACAUAUUAAAGAUUGAAGUAUUUGAAGCUUAAUCUAUCACACUAAAUCCUUAUUGGCUCAACACUUGAGGUAACACCAUGUUUGAGAUUCUCAGGUCAUUUACAAUGUAUGUGUUCUAACUCAUACUCACUGCAUGUUGUUCUGUAUGUUCUAACUCACACACUGUAUUGUGCUCAUCCCUUCCACACCUCUUUCCAGAGAUGCAGUGCUGUGGAUAUAGGAAAGAGGCAUAGCAGGAGCUCCAUGCUUUUGGGAGGAAGACAGAGAAAUCUAGAAGAUCAUAAGUUAAGGGAGAAAAUUGUUUUUUUUAAAGUUCCUGUAACAAUAGUUACAGCAUGUAUUGCUCACUAUAUUGUAAUUGCAGCAUAUAUUGCUCACUUUUAGGCAACAGAACCUGUAGGAGUAGAACUGAAGUGUGUGAUUAUUGUGUACUCUGAAUGUUUGACACAAACAUGCUGUUUGUAAAUAAUGCAGAGGGCCAUCCCAGAGAGAGGAUGGAAAUAUGGUUAGAGAAAAAACAGGUAUUCAACCUGUGAAAUCCUAUUUUACGUUUAUCUAGCGUCUUUCAUCUAAAACAAUCCCCAAAUGACUAUAUGUAAUACCAUUGAAAUGCAACCCUGGCUGGAGUGGAAGGCAUCAACCAACUACCAUGCAGCAUAAUACCGAGGGGAAGGCCAAGUUUUGACCAAUUGUACCAGGGCACAAACUCUUCUGACAACAAACAAGAUGGGUUCUCUCAAGUCCCUACAGACCAGAAGAUACCUUUAGCUCCUUUGGUGAAACAGUAAAAAAAACAAGGCUGUUGCUCCAAGCAUCAAUUCUUUAGCUGGCUAUUACCUUCCAUCCAUGCCAGAGGUGACUGCAGUUCAGUGGAGAAUAAAGUGAUUCCUGCAUAUGAAGUACCCAGUCCUGUAAUCCUCAUCCUAUAGUCCUUUGGGAGCCCAAGUGACCUCUUGUGCGAAAAAGGACCAUUGAUUGGGCUGAGAUGCAUGAGGGUGACAGCCUAUAAUACAAACAUUGAAGAUUAACAGCCACAAUUUCAAAGGUGGUCUCUUUUUGGGUUCUCAUCUUGAGACAUCCCAGGCCUGAUUUUCUGAGGUGCUGAAUACCUGCAACGCCACUUGAAGUCAACAGGAACUGCAGUUGCUCGAAACUACAAUUAGCAGGAAAAUAUUGGAUUCCAAAGUUUUUCAGUGAAAAAACAUAGACCUUUUUUGCAAAAUGUUUUGCAUUUUCCUCAUUUUCACUUAGUUCUAUUCAAACCCUCUGAAAAUCAAGUCAAAAGUGGCUCAAAUUGUGCUCCCCAAAUCUUGAGGCAUCCUAAUUCAGAGAGUACUUCUGAAAAUUUUGGCCAUAAUACUUUCCUAAAAUGAACAACUUCAAAACACUUUUCUUAAUAUAGCAUGUAUCCAUGGUCAUGUGUUGUUGUUAAUAACUUGUAUUCCAGUAGCACUGAGGCUCCAACCAAGCCUGGGGCCCAGGUACAGUAGAAGCAGAGUAGGAGAUGAUGUAUUAUCCACAAAACAAAGGCAACAGUGAUGUUCCUUUAAACAUACUUGCAACAGAGGUUAAGGCCUAUCAACCUAUUUUGCUGUUUGAAUUUGUUUUUUUUUAAAUAAAGUUUGCUUUUGGACAUCUAUUAUUUCUAAAAGGGGUUAAAGCAUUGGGAAAAGUGUAAAUGGUCAUUGCUUCAACAACACAGCAACAUGUUUGCUAUGGAAAAAGCAUAAAAUGACAGGAAAUGGCUUAACGGGAGAAGUGUUCAAUUUUAAGGCUUCUGUUGACAGAAGUUGAUGAGUAAAAAUAUUGCAUUCAAUAAGGAGCAUGGAAUUUUGAUGCAGCCUAGAGGGACAGCUUUGUACUGUGGUGGUCUAAAUUGGGAUUUUACAUUAAUGUAACCAGUCAGAACCCUUGUUAAAGCUAGAGUCAAAAGGGAAGACUAAGCAAAAGCACCACAAGGUUUAUCUUUUGCUCAUCUGGAAGAGUUUAUUUUAAAAACAGAACAUUGUUUGCUGCUGUUGAAAUGAAAGUGUGAGAGUUGCAGCUUUCUUCUGAUGCCAUCUGGCAGAUGAUUUAAUGGUGUGUGGUAUUCACUAAUCCAAAUAACCCUGUGUGUGGUAACCAUUGUAUCUUUACUGAUCAUGCAGCUGAGUUGAUUGAACUUUAGAGGGCUCAUGCAAGACUAUCAAUGGUGGGACAGUAGAUAAUUUCAAAGGUGCGCACUGUUAAAGAAAUGUGUAUGAUACAAAACAUGUCUUCCAAAUCCAUGGCAUUUUUAUUAAGAAUCCUCCCUUUAUUGACCCUAAUUCAGAUUGUUGUAUGCAGUGCAGUUGUAACUGUGUUGGUCCCAGAAUAUUAAUAAAAAAUAUUACCUCA